CUGAAAAAAGUACAGCCCCUAAUCACAGAAUGGCUUGGGUUGGAAAGGACCUUAAGCUCAUCCAGUUCCAACCCCCUGCCAUGGGCAGGGGCACCUCACCCUAGACCUAAUGAAGGCCUUCUAAUCAGAACUUUGUCCUCGCAGGUGACAAGGCCCUGAUGUGGGAACUGAGGAGCAGCUGACAGAUGGUGUUGCCUGAAGGACAGCAGAAACUAAAUGGGACUACCAAGCUGUGGAGCUUGGAGCCCUGGAAAAAGCCCACAGUGAUGCAAAAUGGCAGAGCUGUAUCAAACAAAAAACUGCAACUGCCAAUUAUUUUUUCCCUGCAAGAAGAUGCUUUAAUCGCUCAGAUUCUGUCUCCUUGAUGGCUCAGUUGAAUAGUUUACCUUUUUGAAGGAAAAACCAUACAUAAAGUAGAGCCCCUCAUUGUGAUGCUGUGUUUCUGAACGACACUUUCAGAGACAAACAAUAAAUAAUUCUUGGGGCUUUUCUUACUCUUUAUUAAAAGAAGAACUGAAAGCACAUUCAGCAGGAGAUUUCCAUUUCUCAUUAAGCAGUUCAAGCUACACUUGGAUGAGAACUUUCUGAAGAUUUCCCAUCUGCUGUUGCACUACCAUUUGUGACAACUCCAAAAAUAAGCACGGUGGUGGGUUUUUACGACUGCAUCACCUCUCCUACCGUUCAGUGACUGUGGCAAUAUACCGGUAACAAAUCACAGUAGCCAGAAUUAUCGGGUUGCGUUGAAAGUGGUUGCAGUGUCUACAUCAACGUAUGAAUAUAAAUGCUAGUUACAGUUGAGGCAGGAAUUAUUCACUUUAACAGGAGCUUUGAAGUUUUAUUUUUAAAAUUCCCUUUAAAAUCACCUAUAAAAAUGAAAAGUAAUUUUUGAGUCAUAAAAUUUUCAUGUCAUCAAUGAAAAUUAGGUUGGCACAAAAAGACUUACAGAUUAAACCAUCAAUAAUUGUGACAGCUAGAAAAAUGUAAUCAAAUCUUUCUUCAAAAGACUAAACCACUCUAAUCUCCCCACCUUGUUUCGACUGUUGUUUCUCAGCUGGUCAUCAGUUUUCUGUUGAAGAUAUUUGCCUGAAUUUUUCAUUUUUCCAUGACAAAAAUAACAUAAAUAAAUCAGAGCUAAGCCCAAGUUCCUACCUCUGGCAACAAUUGUGUUUCAUGUUGAGAAAAGAAAGCUCUCUUGCCACCAAGCAUGACAGAUGACACACUGGUCUCACAGCAGAAGAGACUCUGCCCUGCUUCCCAUCAAAACACACCCCAACAUCCCUAAUUUUGAAACAUGGAAAUAAAAAUAGUUAAAAAAGAACCCAACAGAAGCAAAGUCUCUUGCUACUGACAUUGCUAUCUCCCAAAGCUAUCAAGAACCUUAUAUACCUCAGAGUCAGAUUUACAAAGUGAUAAUGAUGCACUUUCCCCACUCUCCUAGUUACUGGUCACUACAUCUGCUGGUGAAAUUCUGUCAAGGACCCAAAACUAUUUUGAGUCCUUGGAAGGUUUUGCAGUGGACUACAUAUCACAUGGCAUUUUGAUAUACAUUGAUUUGGAAAUGGAAUCUAUUGAGGAGAUAGAUAGAAGAGUAUUUUAUGCACCCAACAAAUAUACAUACACAUGCACACACAUAUGUACUACAGUACUAAAAUCAAAGAAAAGUGAGCUGCUGAUAUCUUUGAAUAGAGUUGCUUUUGUGUAUAGGAAGAUAUAUCUGCAGACUUAAGAGUUACAAAUUCAGUGUUUAGACAGUUUUCAACACUCAGGUUCAUGGGUAAUUUUUUUCUUGCUUUAUGACUUGCAUUCAUUCAUGUAUUUGGCAGCAAUUUUAAGGUCAGGAAUUACCUGGAUCUUUGAAUUUUGUAGCUUACUCUUCCAAGGUGCUGAAAAGACAUGGAAGCCAUUAUUUACCCAUCUCUUGCAUUCCCAGUAGAUCCUCUUCAGCCGUAGCAUUCUCCAAAUGUGCAAAUACUGAAUUCAUGAAUCGUGUAUUGAUAUAAAUUAUUGAAAUCACAAAUGACUACAUUUGUACCUUCCUCUGCUGCAAUAUUUAUAAAUGGGAUUUGUGUGCUAUAGCACGUGUGCAAGGGUGUGCAUUUCUCUGGUGAGCUCUCUGCUACCUCUGAAUUUUAGGCAAGGCCAGUAACCCACUCUUCCUUUUCCUACCCAUGUUUUUGUUUGUACUCUUUUGAAAUCCUGAUUAAAGUGCAACAUACCUGACACACAACAGCUCUAAAGGAGAUUCACGGUUUGAAAACAUCUACUUCAGGUCACUGCUGUUUCAAAAACCACCUAGGUUGUUUUUUUCUGUCUUUCAGAUACUCUUUGUGGUCAUCACGGAGCGUCUGCUGAUCACAUUAAAAAGCACACAAACAUGUACUUCAUCACCCUUUUGUGAAUCUCAGGAGAGGGGUGAAUGCCUGAAUGGAACUGGCUGAUGAUUAUUUCUCCAAAGCCUCAUCUCCAGGGGACAGCAAUAGUAGGCCAGCAGGAGAAAGCUGCUGUUGUAAGGGUUUGUAGGUCAUUAAUUACCCAUACUUGAAAAUCUGGCCAAGUUCUUGUAGAGUUAAUGCCUUUAGAUGUUAUCCUGUCUGAAGCAUAAGGUAAUAUUUGUUUUGUGCUAUUCACAAAGCUAAUGGGAACCUUAAACGGCAUACAUGCCAUUAGGCUAUGGUGCUGUACAUAAAGGAUGAGAGGGAAUACAUACUACAACCAUUUUAGCUUGUAGUAUUUGUUUCAUGGUUUGGACUAAA
Molecule: long non-coding RNA, 2753 nt
Organism: Pezoporus occidentalis (night parrot)
Lineage: Eukaryota; Metazoa; Chordata; Aves; Psittaciformes; Psittacidae
Exons: 2
Source: RefSeq, a predicted model, not a curated record